This 495-nucleotide ribosomal RNA is filed under the name uncultured bacterium. Its description in RNAcentral is "partial 16S ribosomal RNA". The record is from RNAcentral.
GGAGUUAGCCGGUGCUUCUUCUGCGAGUAACGUCACAGAUGUAAGGUAUUAACUUACACCCUUUCCUCCUCGCUGAAAGUGCUUUACAACCCGAAGGCCUUCUUCACACACGCGGCAUGGCUGCAUCAGGGUUUCCCCCAUUGUGCAAUAUUCCCCACUGCUGCCUCCCGUAGGAGUCUGGGCCGUGUCUCAGUCCCAGUGUGGCUGAUCAUCCUCUCAGACCAGCUAGGGAUCGUCGCCUAGGUGAGCCUUUACCUCACCUACUAGCUAAUCCCACCUGGGCUUAUCCAUCAGCGCAAGGCCCGAAGGUCCCCUGCUUUCCCCCGUAGGGCGUAUGCGGUAUUAGCAGUCGUUUCCAACUGUUAUCCCCCACAAAUGGGCAAAUUCCCAGGCAUUACUCACCCGUCCGCCGCUCGUCAUCUUCAAAAGCAAGCUUUUGAAAUGUUACCGCUCGACUUGCAUGUNUUAGGCCUGCCGCCAGCGUUCAAUCUGAGC